ACCAUUUCGAGUCUUUGACAACAGGAUUUCACAAAGGACAAAGCUUUCUUCACGUAGCAAUUGUUCUCAAGUAGCUGAGACCUCUACGAGAACUAAUGAUUAUCAGAAAUUGAUUUUAUGUCAAUUCUUCUGCUCUCGCCACAUAUCUACAAGCUCAGCGGCACUGCAAAAUGUUUCCGAGGACUGCCCUCUGUCUCUGGCACAUCAAAAUAUUUUAUGUCAAUUCUUCUGGUAUCAGCUUCUGAGGACUGCACUGUCUGUCUCUGGGAUGUCAUUAAUCAGCUGAUCAUGCGAAGAUUUAACAAUAAAAAAGGGGCAGUAACCAAUCUUAUAGUGAAUCCACGGUCGAUGCUGCAUUUUGCAUCAAACCAUUGAAGAGUUUCAAAUCACUUCCGUGUUUCUUUGCUUGGUAAUUGUCCUGGGCCAGCCAACUCAUCCAAUGGAACUCUCACUCUCCUUCAAGCAUGUUCUCCCCCCGUGGAUAAUCAGACUUCUGUAGAUUUCAGAAGAACCAAUUCAUUGGAUCGGAAGAUAUUUGAAAUGGAGCAAGAACAGACACCUGCAGCCUUGCAAAUGAGGGUAGAAACAAGCACGGACCAUCGGAGAUGGGCGAGAAGAAUGAAAAAUCAUGUCGUGGGAAUGAACAGGCAUUAGCAAUCUCAUUUGCUCGACUUGAUGCAGAUUCUACUGAAAAUUUUACCUACUACCGGAAAGAGCAUGAAGCUCAAGAUCGAAAGUCCACCACCACAAGAGAAGAUAUCACAAUCCCCUGGUUAAUCUUCAAUGAUUUCCAAGCAUAAAUUACUAGGAAACGAUCCUCAUUGAUGCAACAAUUUUCAGUCUAAAACCCACCGCCAUUUCUCUCCCACUGAAAAUCUAAAGCCUCCAU
Molecule: long non-coding RNA, 889 nt
Organism: Populus euphratica (Euphrates poplar)
Lineage: Eukaryota; Viridiplantae; Streptophyta; Magnoliopsida; Malpighiales; Salicaceae
Exons: 3
Source: RefSeq, a predicted model, not a curated record